CCCAAAUCUGUGACUCACUUUAUUGCUAUAGUUGCUUUAUUUGUGCAUGUGAGAGCUCCAAGAACUCCAGUUUAUUUUGGAGCAUCAAUAUGCCAUCUUAAGAAGAAACUUGCAGCCUCAUUUUAGUCAGAAGUCAUCAUCUGACACAGUUCUGGCCAAGGAGAUUGGACUGAAGCCUGGAGGUGAGACAGCCUUUUUUCACCAUUCGACAAACAAGAUGACAGCUACUAGCUACAGAUGGUGAUGCAACAAGAUGAAAGAAGCCUGGGGUACUGGUGACACCAGUCCUGGGCUGCCUGCCUCCAGGCUCCUUUUUUGUGUCUUCUUCUAUGAAAGCCCGUGUAAGAGAAUAAAGAUCUUGAAGACAAGGACCAUGACUCCAUCCAUCCUGCUUGGGUUUCUCCUCCGGGAUCUCGUGCAGCACCUGGCACUUAGCAGUCAUUGCACAGGCCGUGGACAUCUAUAACAACAGUUAAAAAGUUAGCUUAUCACAAGGGCUUCAUAGGCAUUGCGAUCAGGGGCUGCAGAAGAACGGGGCUCCCAAAAGGGGGGCUACUUCCCCAGCUUCCGCUUGAGUUGGUGUGGCUGUGUCAUUGAGUCUAGUCAGUGGGACAUGCUAUAUGCGCUUCCAGUCCUGGCACACAGGAACCUUCCAUGUGUGGUCAUGGACACUCUUUUCUUCUCCAUGGGCUUGAUGCAGACAAGCAUGGUGGCUGUGGAAGCCAGCUGGGGACGAUGGCAGAGGCAAAAGAGGGAAGCAGGCUGUGCCCUGUAUUUCAGUUUGGAAGGCAAAUACCAAGGGAGCUGCUUGCUCUUCAGGAUCACUCAUUUUUGACCUUGCGUAAGUGAGAAAUAAGAUUCUAUCUUUUUUGAGCCAUUAUACAUUUGGGGGUCUUUUUUUAAAACUGUAGUUUGCUGUGUAAGGCAGUUGGAAUUUUGUAAUUUAGCAGACUGAUACCAUGACAUUAGUGUUGUUUUGAACUGGUUACACUUUUCAGUUUUAGGGGGAAGGAUGUUUGUAAAUAUAAAUGACUAUUAAAUUAGCUUUCUUUUUAUUUAUAUACCCGUAUACAAAGGUGGAUGAACCAAGUUAAUUGAAUAUCAUAAAAACCAUGUUCUGAUUUGAAUAGUUUAUUUGAAUCUGUUUUAUUUAGAAUGUUAAAAACCCAUUUUAUUUAGAAUGUACUUAGUUUUACCAGUGA
Phacochoerus africanus (Common warthog) is the source of this 1202-nucleotide long non-coding RNA. RefSeq lists it as uncharacterized. The transcript is spliced from 4 exons. Lineage: Eukaryota; Metazoa; Chordata; Mammalia; Artiodactyla; Suidae. The record is from RefSeq and is a predicted model, not a curated record.